CAGUCGCCGCGGGAAUACGAGGGGCGCAAGCGUUAUUCGGAUUGAUUGGGUGUAAAGGGUGUGCAGACGGCUUAUUAAGUCACUUGUUAAAUUCUUCGGCCUAACUGAAGGUCUGCAAGUGAUACUGAUGAGCUAGAGGGUGGAAGAGAGAAGUGGAAUUCUCGGAGUAGCGGUAAAAUGCGUAGAUCUCGAGAGGAACACCAAUGGCGAAGGCAGCUUCUUGGUCCAUUCCUGACGUUCAUACACGAAAGCGUGGGGAGCAAACGGGAUUAGAUACCCGAGUAGUCCCUGUCUCUUAUAC
This 301-nucleotide ribosomal RNA is filed under the name uncultured bacterium. RNAcentral describes it as "partial 16S ribosomal RNA". It matches the Rfam family "Bacterial small subunit ribosomal RNA", at positions 509 to 807 of the family's 1533-position model. The record is from RNAcentral.